This 253-nucleotide ribosomal RNA is filed under the name uncultured bacterium. RNAcentral describes it as "partial 16S ribosomal RNA". It matches the Rfam family "Bacterial small subunit ribosomal RNA", at positions 524 to 776 of the family's 1533-position model. The record is from RNAcentral.
UACGUAGGGUGCGAGCGUUGUCCGGAAUUACUGGGCGUAAAGAGUUCGUAGGCGGUUUGUCGCGUCGUUCGUGAAACUUGGGGACUUAACUCCAAGCGUGCGGGCGAUACGGGCAGACUUGAGUACUACAGGGGAGACUGGAAUUCCUGGUGUAGCGGUGAAAUGCGCAGAUAUCAGGAGGAACACCGGUGGCGAAGGCGGGUCUCUGGGCCACUACUGACGCUGAGAAGCGAAAGCAUGGGGAGCGAACAGG